RNAcentral lists this ribosomal RNA (464 nucleotides) under uncultured bacterium. RNAcentral describes it as "partial 16S ribosomal RNA". It matches the Rfam family "Bacterial small subunit ribosomal RNA", at positions 30 to 507 of the family's 1533-position model. The record is from RNAcentral.
UGACCGCUGGCGGCGUGCUUACCACAUGCACGUCGAACGAUGAAGCCCAGCUUGCUGGGUGGAUUAGUGGCGAACGGGUGAGUAACACGUGAGUAACCUGCCCUUAACUCUGGGAUAAGCCUGGGAAACUGGGUCUAAUACCGGAUAGGAGCGUCCACCGCAUGGCGGGUGUUGGAAAGAUUUAUCGGUUUUGGAUGGACUCGCGGCCUAUCAGCUUGUUGGUGAGGUAAUGGCUCACCAAGGCGACGACGGGUAGCCGGCCUGAGAGGGUGACCGGCCACACUGGGACUGAGACACGGCCCAGACUCCUACGGGAGGCAGCAGUGGGGAAUAUUGCACAAUGGGCGCAAGCCUGAUGCAGCGACGCCGCGUGAGGGAUGACGGCCUUCGGGUUGUAAACCUCUUUCAGUAGGGAAGAAGCGAAAGUGACGGUACCUGCAGAAGAAGCACCGGCUAACUACGUG